UACGUAGGGUCCGAGCGUUGUCCGGAAUUACUGGGCGUAAAGAGCUCGUAGGUGGUUUGUCGCGUUGUUCGUGAAAACUCACAGCUCAACUGUGGGCGUGCGGGCGAUACGGGCAGACUAGAGUACUGCAGGGGAGACUGGAAUUCCUGGUGUAGCGGUGGAAUGCGCAGAUAUCAGGAGGAACACCGGUGGCGAAGGCGGGUCUCUGGUUCGAUACUGACGCUGAGGCGCGAAAGCGUGGGGAGCAAACAGG
This 253-nucleotide ribosomal RNA is filed under the name uncultured bacterium. Its description in RNAcentral is "partial 16S ribosomal RNA". It matches the Rfam family "Bacterial small subunit ribosomal RNA", at positions 524 to 776 of the family's 1533-position model. The record is from RNAcentral.